UUCUCCAGCCAUGCUGAGCCGUGACUCAAUUAAACCUCUUUCCUUUAUAAAUUAUCCAGUCUCAGGCAUGUCUCUAUUAGCAGAAUAAGAAUAGACUAAUAUACCAAGCUGUGGUUAAAUACU
Molecule: long non-coding RNA, 123 nt
Organism: Sapajus apella (tufted capuchin)
Lineage: Eukaryota; Metazoa; Chordata; Mammalia; Primates; Cebidae
Exons: 3
Source: RefSeq, a predicted model, not a curated record